Molecule: ribosomal RNA, 1401 nt
Filed under: uncultured bacterium
Lineage: Bacteria
Description: 16S ribosomal RNA
Rfam family: Bacterial small subunit ribosomal RNA
Source: RNAcentral
GCUGGCGGCGUGCCUAAUACAUGCAAGUCGAACGGAAGUACCUUCGGGUACUUUAGUGGCGAACGGGUGAGUAAUACAUAGGUAACCUACCCUUAAGACGAGGAUAGCCAUUGGAAACGAUGGAUAAAACUGGAUAGGAUAUAGAGGAAGAAUCUUUUAUAUUUAAAAGAGAGAUCUGCUUAAGGAGGGGCCUGUGGCGCAUUAGCUAGUUGGUGGGGUAAGGGCCUACCAAGGCGAUGAUGCGUAGCCGGACUGAGAGGUUGAACGGCCACAAUGGAACUGAGAACGGUCCAUACUCCUACGGGAGGCAGCAGUAGGGAAUUUUCGGCAAUGGGGGGAACCCUGACCGAGCAACGCCGCGUGAACGAAGAAGUUAUUCGUAAUGUAAAGUUCUUUUAUCAGGGACGAAAGAGGAAUUUGACGGUACCUGAGGAAUAAGCUCCGGCUAACUACGUGCCAGCAGCCGCGGUAAUACGUAGGGAGCGAGCGUUAUCCGGAAUUAUUGGGCGUAAAGGGUGCGUAGAUGGCAUAGUAAGUCUUUUGUAAAAAUGCUGGGCUCAACCCGGUAGGGCAAAAGAUACUGCAAAGCUAGAGUAUGACAGAGGCAAGUGGAACUACAUGUGUAGCGGUAAAAUGCGUAAAUAUAUGUAAGAACACCAGUGGCGAAGGCGGCUUGCUGGGUCGAUACUGACAUUGAGGCACGAAAGCGUGGGGAGCAAACAGGAUUAGAUACCCUGGUAGUCCACGCCCUAAACGAUGAGUUCUAAGUGUUGGUGAGAAUCAGUGCUGAAGUUAACGCAUUAAGUACUCCGCCUGAGUAGUACGUACGCAAGUAUGAAACUUAAAGGAAUUGACGGGAGCCCGCACAAGCGGUGGAGCAUGUUGUUUAAUUCGACGAUACGCGAAGAACCUUACCAGGUCUUGACAUAGCACGCGAAGGCGUAGAGAUACGUUGGAGGAUAGCGUGCAUACAGGUGGUGCAUGGUUGUCGUCAGCUCGUGUCGUGAGAUGUUGGGUUAAGUCCCGCAACGAGCGCAACCCUUAUUUCUAGUUACCAGCAGUAAGAUGGGGACUCUAGAGAGACUGCCAUUGAUAAAAUGGAGGAAGGUGGGGAUGACGUCAAAUCAUCAUGCCCUAUAUGACCUGGGCUACAAACGUGCUACAAUGGCUGAAACAAAGAGAAGCGAGCCCGCGAGGGGGAGCGAACCUCAAAAAAGCAGUCUCAGUUCGGAUUGAAGUCUGCAACUCGACUUCAUGAAGAUGGAAUCGCUAGUAAUCGCGAAUCAGAAUGUCGCGGUGAAUACGUUCUCGGGCUUUGUACACACCGCCCGUCAAACCAUGAGAGUUUGUAAUACCCGAAGCCGGUGGCCUAACGAAAGAGGGAGCCGUCUAAGGUAGGAC